Molecule: long non-coding RNA, 836 nt
Filed under: Phocoena sinus (vaquita)
Lineage: Eukaryota; Metazoa; Chordata; Mammalia; Artiodactyla; Phocoenidae
Description: lncRNA (ENSPSNG00000019387.1)
Source: RNAcentral
GCCCGAGAAGUCCGCAGGAAUGGGUGUGAGCCUCUCCAUCUGUCUCCACUCCCGGAGAAGCUGUUCUGCCCCCGCAGGCAGGCCCACUCCCACCAUGGUCUCUCAUUUCAUUUUUCUGCAUCGUGGAGGCUGGUCAUGGAAAAGAAAAUGCCCAUUUCACCCAUUUCUCUACCUCCUGGUAGGGCCCAGAGUUGAACAGCAGAAUCUUUUGAGCACCUAUCAUUCAUCCAUCCAUCCAUCCAUCCACCCACCAAACACGGAUAAAGACCCAGCAGCACCGGCACAGCGAUGGGUCUAGUGAGUGCCAAGACAACCUCCACAGGCUCGGGGGCGUGGCAAUCUAGGUGCGGAGGAGGAACCAGAUGCUGAAACACCCAUAACAAGCCACAGUAGUGGCAGCGCACGAGGGCCAGGCCCUCACCUGGUGGCUGGGGAGGCAUCACAGAGGAGGAGGGCCGAGUUGGGCUAAUGGAUGGCAGGAGAGCAGCAUUGCUAAUCUGGGCAGGCUCUGGAAGUUUUCUAGUCUCUGAGGGCUGAUGCUGCAGACUCUAGGGUUUAGCCUAGCCACUAGGGAGAAGUACUGCUGCCCGAGACCCUCCCCAGUGACUCAUCUCCCUCCUCCCGGCUAGUGGGCAGGACCAGUAGGGAAGGCAGGCAGUGGAGGGAAGGGUUCGCAAGGCUGCCUCCACUUUAUUUAUUGGUUUGAUUAUUUCUCCAUCCCAGGGAGAGAGUCAGUGGACCCCUUUUCUUGCUUUAGCCCAUGAUGGGGAGCAGGGAGGGGCUGGAGAACUGGUGCCUCACGAGCGGUUACUGAUGCCCUAAUUACAAGAGGAUGC